GACGAACGCUGGCGGCGUGCUUAACACAUGCAAGUCGAACGGAAAGGCCCUGCUUGCAGGGUGCUCGAGUGGCGAACGGGUGAGUAACACGUGGGUGAUCUGCCCCUUAUUUUGGGAUAAGCCUGGGAAACUGGGUCUAAUACUGGAUAGGACCAUGCUGUAGGUGGUGUGGUGGAAAGAUUAGUUUCGGUAAGGGAUGAGCUCGCGGCCUAUCAGCUUGUUGGUGGGGUAAUGGCCUACCAAGGCGUCGACGGGUAGCCGACCUGAGAGGGUGGACGGCCACAUUGGGACUGAGAUACGGCCCAGACUCCUACGGGAGGCAGCAGUGGGGAAUAUUGCACAAUGGGCGCAAGCCUGAUGCAGCGACGCCGCGUGGGGGAUGACGGCCUUCGGGUUGUAAACUCCUUUCAGCCAUGACGAAGCCCUUGUGGUGACGGUAGUGGUAGAAGAAGCACCGGCUAACUACGUG
RNAcentral lists this ribosomal RNA (469 nucleotides) under uncultured bacterium. RNAcentral's name for it is "partial 16S ribosomal RNA". It matches the Rfam family "Bacterial small subunit ribosomal RNA", at positions 28 to 507 of the family's 1533-position model. The record is from RNAcentral.